AAACAACUCUCGGCAACGGAUAUCUUGGCUCUUGCAACGAUGAAGAACGCAGCGAAAUGCGAUACGUAGUGUGAAUUGCAGAAUUCCGCGAAUCAUCGAGUCUUUGAACGCAAGUUGCGCCCGAGGCUUGUCCGAGGGCAUUUCCGCUAGAGCGUCACC
This 159-nucleotide ribosomal RNA is filed under the name Campylium stellatum. Its description in RNAcentral is "5.8S ribosomal RNA". It matches the Rfam family "5.8S ribosomal RNA". Rfam says of the family: 5.8S ribosomal RNA (5.8S rRNA) is a component of the large subunit of the eukaryotic ribosome. It is transcribed by RNA polymerase I as part of the 45S precursor that also contains 18S and 28S rRNA. The record is from RNAcentral. Lineage: Eukaryota; Viridiplantae; Streptophyta; Bryopsida; Hypnales; Amblystegiaceae.